RNAcentral lists this ribosomal RNA (253 nucleotides) under uncultured bacterium. RNAcentral describes it as "partial 16S ribosomal RNA". It matches the Rfam family "Bacterial small subunit ribosomal RNA", at positions 524 to 776 of the family's 1533-position model. The record is from RNAcentral.
UACGUAGGGUGCAAGCGUUAUCCGGAAUUAUUGGGCGUAAAGAGCUCGUAGGCGGUCUGUCGCGUCUGGUGUGAAAACUCAAGGCUUAACCUUGGGCCUGCAUCGGGUACGGGCAGACUAGAGUGCGGUAGGGGAGACUGGAAUUCCUGGUGUAGCGGUGAAAUGCGCAGAUAUCAGGAGGAACACCGGUGGCGAAGGCGGGUCUCUGGUCCAGCUCUGACGCUGAGGCGCGAAAGCGUGGGUAGCAAACAGG